GGGGCCUCCUCGGCAGGUGCUCUCGGUGAAGACGGCCGCGGCGGACUGCGGCCUCGGGACCCUCUAACCCGCGUCGCUCCUCGUCUGCGUUCCGGAGGGAGGCCUCCCGGAGACCGAGCUCUGCACAGACCUGCGUCGUUGCUGUUUUAGCAGCAUUGCCAACGAAGCGUUUUUGCUAUGUUUUUCUCACAGAAGAGGAGUCAUGUCAGAAGAAACAGUAAAGGAAUCACAGUUUUCCUUGAAGACAGCAGUACUAAGAGUGUUUGAUCUUCCUGUGUCUUGGUACUAUUCUCUCUCCCAGGUAAAAAAGCAAAAACAAAUGUGAAAUUACUAAGUUUAUUGUUCUGACCGUAGUAUUUUGUUUACAGUAUUUAAAUUUCAGUUGAGGUUUUAUUUUUUUAUUUUUAA
Molecule: long non-coding RNA, 408 nt
Filed under: Canis lupus dingo (dingo)
Lineage: Eukaryota; Metazoa; Chordata; Mammalia; Carnivora; Canidae
Description: lncRNA (ENSCAFG00020010180.1)
Source: RNAcentral